CCCUUAGAUGUUCUGGGCCGCACGCGCGCUACACUGACAGAGCCAGCGAGUUCUUUUCCUUGGCCGGAAGGUCUGGGUAAUCUUGUGAAACUCUGUCGUGCUGGGGAUAGAGCAUUGCAAUUAUUGCUCUUCAACGAGGAAUUCCUAGUAAGCGUGAGUCAUCAGCUCGCGUUGAUUACGUCCCUGCCCUUUGUACACACCGCCCGUCGCUACUACCGAUUGAAUGGCUUAGUGAGGUCUUGGGAUUGGCUUCGGGGAGCCGGCAACGGCACCCUGUCGCUGAGAACUUGAUCAAACUUGGUCAUUUAGAGGAAGUAAAANUCGUANCA
This 329-nucleotide ribosomal RNA is filed under the name uncultured eukaryote. RNAcentral's name for it is "partial 18S ribosomal RNA". It matches the Rfam family "Eukaryotic small subunit ribosomal RNA", at positions 1470 to 1796 of the family's 1831-position model. The record is from RNAcentral.